UAGGGAAUCUUCGGCAAUGGACGAAAGUCUGACCGAGCAACGCCGCGUGAGUGAAGAAGGUUUUCGGAUCGUAAAACUCUGUUGCUAGAGAAGAACAAGGACGUUAGUAACUGAACGUCCCCUGACGGUAUCUAACCAGAAAGCCACGGCUAACUACGUGCCAGCAGCCGCGGUAAUACGUAGGUGGCAAGCGUUGUCCGGAUUUAUUGGGCGUAAAGCGAGCGCAGGCGGUUUCUUAAGUCUGAUGUGAAAGCCCCCGGCUCAACCGGGGAGGGUCAUUGGAAACUGGGAGACUUGAGUGCAGAAGAGGAGAGUGGAAGUCCAUGUGUAGCGGUGAAAUGCGUAGAUAUAUGGAGGAACACCAGUGGCGAAGGCGGCUCUCUGGUCUGUAACUGACGAUGAGGCUCGAAAGCGUGGGGAGCAAACAGG
This 429-nucleotide ribosomal RNA is filed under the name Gemmatimonadota bacterium. Its description in RNAcentral is "Gemmatimonadetes bacterium partial 16S ribosomal RNA". It matches the Rfam family "Bacterial small subunit ribosomal RNA", at positions 355 to 776 of the family's 1533-position model. The record is from RNAcentral. Lineage: Bacteria; Pseudomonadati; Gemmatimonadota.